GGAAUGCGGCAGCUACCAUGCAGUCGAGCGGGGUGAUGUAGCUUGCGUACCUAACCUAGCGGCGGACGGGUGAGUAAUGCUUAGGAAUCUGCCUAUUAGUGGGGGACAACAUUCCGAAAGGAAUGCUAAUACCGCAUACGCCCUACGGGGGAAAGCAGGGGAUCUUCGGACCUUGCGCUAAUAGAUGAGCCUAAGUCAGAUUAGCUAGUUGGUGGGGUAAAGGCCUACCAAGGCGACGAUCUGUAGCGGGUCUGAGAGGAUGAUCCGCCACACUGGGACUGAGACACGGCCCAGACUCCUACGGGAGGCAGCAGUGGGGAAUAUUGGACAAUGGGCGCAAGCCUGAUCCAGCCAUGCCGCGUGUGUGAAGAAGGCCUUUUGGUUGUAAAGCACUUUAAGCGAGGAGGAGGCUACUGGUAUUAAUACUACCGGAUAGUGGACGUUACUCGCAGAAUAAGCACCGGCUAACUCUGUGCCAGCAGCCGCGGUAAUACAGAGGGUGCGAGCGUUAAUCGGAUUUACUGGGCGUAAAGCGUGCGUAGGCGGCUUUUUAAGUCGGAUGUGAAAUCCCUGAGCUUAACUUAGGAAUUGCAUUCGAUACUGGGAAGCUAGAGUAUGGGAGAGGAUGGUAGAAUUCCAGGUGUAGCGGUGAAAUGCGUAGAGAUCUGGAGGAAUACCGAUGGCGAAGGCAGCCAUCUGGCCUAAUACUGACGCUGAGGUACGAAAGCAUGGGGAGCAAACAGGAUUAGAUACCCUGGUAGUCCAUGCCGUAACGAUGUCUACUAGCCGUUGGGGCCUUUGAGGCUUUAGUGGCGCAGCUAACGCGAUAAGUAGACCGCCUGGGGAGUACGGUCGCAAGACUAAAACUCAAAUGAAUUGACGGGGGCCCGCACAAGCGGUGGAGCAUGUGGUUUAAUUCGAUGCAACGCGAAGAACCUUACCUGGUCUUGACAUAGUAAGAACUUUCCAGAGAUGGAUUGGUGCCUUCGGGAACUUACAUACAGUGCUGCAUGGCUGUCGUCAGCUCGUGUCGUGAGAUGUUGGGGUAAGUCCCGCAACGAGCGCACCCUUUUUCUUAUUUGCAGCGGGUUAAGGCGGGAACUUUAGGAUACUGCAGUGACAAACUGAGAGCGGGACGACGUCAGUCAUCAUGCCCUUACGACAGCUACACCACGUGCUACAAUGUCGGUACAA
Molecule: ribosomal RNA, 1194 nt
Filed under: Acinetobacter sp.
Lineage: Bacteria; Pseudomonadati; Pseudomonadota; Gammaproteobacteria; Moraxellales; Moraxellaceae
Description: bacterial SSU rRNA
Rfam family: Bacterial small subunit ribosomal RNA
Source: RNAcentral